RNAcentral lists this ribosomal RNA (256 nucleotides) under uncultured bacterium. RNAcentral's name for it is "partial 16S ribosomal RNA". It matches the Rfam family "Bacterial small subunit ribosomal RNA", at positions 524 to 776 of the family's 1533-position model. The record is from RNAcentral.
UACGAAGGGUGCAAGCGUUACUCGGAAUUACUGGGCGUAAAGCGUGCGUAGGUGGUUUUGUUAAGUCUGAUGUGAAAGCCCUGGGCUCAACCUGGGAAUUGCAUUGGAUACUGGCAGGCUAGAGUGCGGUAGAGGAUGGCGGAAUUCCCGGUGUAGCAGUGAAAUGCGUAGAUAUCGGAAGGAACAUCAGUGGCGAAAAGCGGCUUCCUGGUCCAGCACCCGACGUUCAGGCACGAAAGCGUGGGGAGCAAACAGG